UUCUGUAAGCCGUUGAAGGUGUGCUGUGAGGCAUGCUGGAGGUAUCAGAAGUGCGAAUGCUGACAUAAGUAACGAUAAAGCGGGUGAAAAGCCCGCUCGCCGGAAGACCAAGGGUUCCUGUCCAACGUUAAUCGGGGCAGGGUGAGUCGACCCCUAAGGCGAGGCCGAAAGGCGUAGUCGAUGGGAAACAGGUUAAUAUUCCUGUACUUGGUGUUACUGCGAAGGGGGGACGGAGAAGGCUAUGUUAGCCGGGCGACGGUUGUCC
RNAcentral lists this ribosomal RNA (265 nucleotides) under Enterobacter asburiae. RNAcentral describes it as "partial 23S ribosomal RNA". It matches the Rfam family "Bacterial large subunit ribosomal RNA", at positions 1239 to 1507 of the family's 2925-position model. Lineage: Bacteria; Pseudomonadati; Pseudomonadota; Gammaproteobacteria; Enterobacterales; Enterobacteriaceae. The record is from RNAcentral.